Molecule: ribosomal RNA, 775 nt
Filed under: uncultured Neocallimastigales
Lineage: Eukaryota; Fungi; Neocallimastigomycota; Neocallimastigomycetes; Neocallimastigales
Description: partial large subunit ribosomal RNA
Rfam family: Eukaryotic large subunit ribosomal RNA
Source: RNAcentral
CUAUACAUGACUCUGCGCAUAUCAAUAAGCGGAGGAAAAGAAACUAACAAGGAUUCCCUUAGUAACGGCGAGUGAAGCGGGAAGAGCUCAAAUUUGAAAUCUUAAAGGGUUUCCCUUUACGAAUUGUAGUUUAAAGAAGUGUUUUCUGUUGAGGUUUUGGUAAAAGUUCUUUGGAAUAGGACAUCAUAGAGGGUGAGAAUCCCGUAUUUGACCUUUACUUUCAACUUUGUGAUACACUUUCAAAGAGUCGGAUUGUUUGGGAAUGCAGUCCAAAAUGGGUGGUAAAUUUCAUCUAAAGCUAAAUAUUGGCGAGAGACCGAUAGCGAACAAGUACCGUGAGGGAAAGAUGAAAAGAACUUUGAAAAGAGAGUUAAACAGUACGUGAAAUUGUUAAAAGGGAAGCGUUUGACACCAGUGUUGUUUUUCUGAAAAUCAAUUAAAGAACUGUUUAUGCUAAGUUGUUUAGACUUUAUCAGCUAACUGUUUAGUUUUGAGCUUUUCUUUAAUGCACUUUUCAGGUUAACAAGUCAACAUCAAUUUCUUUUGCUGUAAAAAAGCUUGAGGAAGGUGGCUUGAGAUUCGUCUUAAGUGUUUAUAGCCUCUUGCCUAUGCAGUCGGAGAGAUUGAGGUCUGCAGCGUAGAUCCUUCGGGGCUAAAUGCAUUUGUGCUAAGUUAUAGCAUUUUAUAGACAACUUGUUGACUAUGAUUUGUCUUGUAGCUUACUCGCUUAUGUUAUUUUACCUACGCUUAGGAUGUUGACAGCAGUAUAGACUGU